Molecule: long non-coding RNA, 354 nt
Filed under: Panax ginseng (ginseng)
Lineage: Eukaryota; Viridiplantae; Streptophyta; Magnoliopsida; Apiales; Araliaceae
Description: long non-coding RNA (PGIN_LNC006507)
Source: RNAcentral
CCUGUUAAAGCAAAGAGAGGAAAUAGCCGAACAGAUGCUUCAGGUGGCGGAAUUACGGGACGAAGCAUCUAGCCAUGAUCAGUCCGAAGGACGAAGUGGGCAUAAGGAGGAGUCGCGACGAAAGGGUAAGGAGCCGAAGCGUUCCAUGCGUGUUUCUAGGGAUCAUUCUCGAAGUAGGAGGAGAUCGAGGAGCAGAACUCCCGUGGCCUCGAAGAAGGCAAUAAUGACCGUUACCUCUCAGCAUCGAGAUUAUUAUCGACAAAGGAGCAGGUCGAGGGAGGUCGUACCCGAAGUCAGGGUAAUGGACUAUCAACGUGAUCAUUCUCACCAUAAGGAAAGAGUUGUGUACCGAAG